GGAAGGUGAGUGCUCAAAUGAGGGACUGUGUGAAAAGAAAAAUAAAUGAGUGGCGACAAACUUCUUAGAGGAAUUAUGAAUUAAGUCACAAGUGUUCAUCUAAACUUUCAUCACUGCAGAGUCUCCAGUCAGCAUAUCUGACUUGUAGACACUGCUAAACCAUCUGGCAAUAAGGAGUUUAUGAAAGACUUUUGAAAGAUACAUCAACUCUUGGGCAUCAUUAUAUAAUUGUUCUGCAAAUUAAAAAAACAAGAUCAAUAACUGAUUAAAAAAAUACUCAUCACCUGAAAGAGUUAAUGUUG
RNAcentral lists this long non-coding RNA (302 nucleotides) under Mustela putorius furo (domestic ferret). Its description in RNAcentral is "lncRNA (ENSMPUG00000024266.1)". The record is from RNAcentral. Lineage: Eukaryota; Metazoa; Chordata; Mammalia; Carnivora; Mustelidae.